Molecule: unclassified non-coding RNA, 334 nt
Filed under: soil metagenome
Description: partial contains 5.8S ribosomal RNA, internal transcribed spacer 2, and large subunit ribosomal RNA
Rfam family: 5.8S ribosomal RNA (bases 1-120)
Source: RNAcentral
GAUGAAGAACGCAGCGAAAUGCGAUAAGUAGUGUGAAUUGCAGAAUUCAGUGAAUCAUCGAAUCUUUGAACGCACAUUGCGCCCCUUGGUAUUCCAUGGGGCAUGCCUGUUCGAGCGUCAUUUGUACCUUCAAGCUCUGCUUGGUGUUGGGUGUUUGUCUCGCCUCUGCGUGUAGACUCGCCUCAAAACAAUUGGCAGCCGGCGUAUUGAUUACGGAGCGCAGUACAUCUCGCGCUUUGCACUCAUAACGACGACGUCCAAAAGUACAUUUUUACACUCUUGACCUCGGAUCAGGUAGGGAUACCCGCUGAACUUAAGCAUAUCAAUAAGAGGA